This 253-nucleotide ribosomal RNA is filed under the name uncultured bacterium. RNAcentral's name for it is "partial 16S ribosomal RNA". It matches the Rfam family "Bacterial small subunit ribosomal RNA", at positions 524 to 776 of the family's 1533-position model. The record is from RNAcentral.
UACGGGGGGGGCAAGCGUUGUUCGGAAUUACUGGGCGUAAAGGGCGCGUAGGCGGCUCGCUAAGUCGGAUGUGAAAACUCUGGGCUCAACCCAGAGCCUGCAUUCGAAACUGACGAGCUCGAGUUCUGGAGGGGAAAGCGGAAUUCCUGGUGUAGCGGUGAAAUGCGUAGAUAUCAAGAGGAACACCUGAGGCGAAGGCGGGUUGCUAGGCUGACACUGACGCUGAGGCGCGAAAGCUAGGGUAGCAAACGGG